This 253-nucleotide ribosomal RNA is filed under the name uncultured bacterium. RNAcentral's name for it is "partial 16S ribosomal RNA". It matches the Rfam family "Bacterial small subunit ribosomal RNA", at positions 524 to 776 of the family's 1533-position model. The record is from RNAcentral.
UACGUAGGGUGCAAGCGUUGUCCGGAAUUAUUGGGCGUAAAGAGCUUGUAGGCGGUUUGUCGCGUCUGCUGUGAAAUUUCGGGGCUCAACCCCGAACUUGCAGUGGGUACGGGCAGACUAGAGUGUGGUAGGGGAGACUGGAAUUCCUGGUGUAGCGGUGAAAUGCGCAGAUAUCAGGAGGAACACCGAUGGUGAAGGCAGGUCUCUGGGCCAUAACUGACGCUGAGAAGCGAAAGCAUGGGGAGCGAACAGG